UACGGAGGGUGCGAGCGUUGUCCGGAAUCACUGGGCGUAAAGGGCGCGUAGGUGGCGCGGAGAGUCAACGGUGAAAGCUCGGGGCUCAACCCCGAGUCGGCCGUCGAUACUUCCGGGCUGGAGCACUGUAGAGGCAGGUGGAAUUCCGGGUGUAGCGGUGGAAUGCGUAGAUAUCAGGAGGAACACCGGUGGUGAAAACGAGUCUCUGGUCCGCUUCUGACGCUCAGGUGCGAAAGCUAGGGGAGCAAACGGG
This 253-nucleotide ribosomal RNA is filed under the name uncultured bacterium. RNAcentral describes it as "partial 16S ribosomal RNA". It matches the Rfam family "Bacterial small subunit ribosomal RNA", at positions 524 to 776 of the family's 1533-position model. The record is from RNAcentral.